GCUUAAAACAAGAUCACAGUGAGCUUAAGGAAGUCCCAAGGAAGCUCGGAGUGCUUCGUUGGAAGUUUUUGGACGUAAGAACACGGAGAUCGACAAGUUCAAAGUUUGGCCGGAGCUUUCGAGGCUCUUUCCGGCGAAUCCCCGGCGAGUUAGGAGUCGAGGUAGGUAUCAAUCUCUUCGUCUCGUCAAGUACUACAACUUUCCUUUUUGUUUCACUCAAUUUUGUUGAGUAUUGAAGAAGUUAUACUCAUUUGAAAAAUACCCAGUUUCCGGCGACCUCCGAGGCUUUCGAGGCAGUUUCCGGCCAAACAACGGCGAACUAGGUGUUGUGCAAGGUACCAUUCUCUUUGUCUCUUCAAGGGCUACAACUCUCGUUUUUGAAUCACUUGAUUUCGUUGAGAAAUGACAAAGUUAUGGCAAUUUGAAAAACUGCCCGGAAAACGGCCGCCGGAAAAACCAGUCCGGCGACCCAAGGAAGAAGAAGGUGCUACAGUAAAAAAAUAAAUAAAUAAAAAUAAAAUUAUUUUAAAAAUAU
This 535-nucleotide long non-coding RNA is filed under the name Malus domestica (apple). Its description in RNAcentral is "long non-coding RNA (MDOM_LNC008238)". The record is from RNAcentral. Lineage: Eukaryota; Viridiplantae; Streptophyta; Magnoliopsida; Rosales; Rosaceae.